GAUGAACGCUGGCGGCGUGCCUAAUACAUGCAAGUCGAGCGAAACUUCUUUAUCACCGAGUGCUUGCACUCACCGAUAAAGAGUUGAGUGGCGAACGGGUGAGUAACACGUGGGCAACCUGCCCAAAAGAGGGGGAUAACACUUGGAAACAGGUGCUAAUACCGCAUAACCAUAGUUACCGCAUGGUAACUAUGUAAAAGGUGGCUAUACUACCGCUUUUGGAUGGGCCCGCGGCGCAUUAGCUAGUUGGUAGGGUAAAGGCUUACCAAGGCAAUGAUGCGUAGCCGAAUUGAGAGGUUGAUCGGCCACAUUGGGACUGAGACACGGCCCAAACUCCUACGGGAGGCAGCAGUAGGGAAUCUUCCACAAUGGGCGAAAGCCUGAUGGAGCAACGCCGCGUGGGUGAAGAAGGUCUUCGGAUCGUAAAACCCUGUUGUUAGAGAAGAAAGUGCGUGAGAGUAACUGUUCACGUUUCGACGGUAUCUAACCAGAAAGCCACGGCUAACUACGUG
Molecule: ribosomal RNA, 512 nt
Filed under: uncultured bacterium
Lineage: Bacteria
Description: partial 16S ribosomal RNA
Rfam family: Bacterial small subunit ribosomal RNA
Source: RNAcentral